UGGGAAUGGUACCCAGAUCGACUGUUGUGAUGACAACUCUGUGGAUGCACGAAUGAUGGACAGAAGUGGGCUACAGCUGAACAAUGGGAAGCAUCUACCCUACCUCUGCAGAAAAGGGACACAUUGCACUUUCCCUAAGAUAUCCAUGCACUGAGAAUAUGGACCUUCCCAGCAUCCCAGUCUGAAGCCCAGCAAGCUCAACCCCAGCUGACAUCCCAGCAAUGAAAAUCUCCCAGGAAGGAAAGACAUUCCCACAAAGUA
Polyodon spathula (Mississippi paddlefish) is the source of this 261-nucleotide long non-coding RNA. RefSeq lists it as uncharacterized. NCBI's taxonomy places the organism in Eukaryota, Metazoa, Chordata, Actinopteri, Acipenseriformes, Polyodontidae. The transcript is spliced from 3 exons. The record is from RefSeq and is a predicted model, not a curated record.